GACAGAGGUGGCGAGCGUUGUUCGGAUUUAUUGGGCGUAAAGCGUACGCAGGCGGUUUGGUAAGUCAGGGGUGAAAGACCACAGCUUAACUGUGGCACUGCCUUUGAUACUGCCUUUCUUGAGUAGAGUAGGGGGAAGCGGAAUUCCGAGUGUAGAGGUGAAAUUCGUAGAUAUUCGGAGGAACACCGGUGGCGAAGGCGGCUUCCUGGACUCUAACUGACGCUCAUGUACGAAAGCGUGGGGAGCAAACAGG
This 253-nucleotide ribosomal RNA is filed under the name uncultured bacterium. RNAcentral's name for it is "partial 16S ribosomal RNA". It matches the Rfam family "Bacterial small subunit ribosomal RNA", at positions 524 to 776 of the family's 1533-position model. The record is from RNAcentral.